RNAcentral lists this ribosomal RNA (468 nucleotides) under uncultured bacterium. Its description in RNAcentral is "partial 16S ribosomal RNA". It matches the Rfam family "Bacterial small subunit ribosomal RNA", at positions 28 to 507 of the family's 1533-position model. The record is from RNAcentral.
GACGAACGCUGGCGGCGUGCUUAACACAUGCAAGUCGAACGGAAAGGCCCUGCUUUUGUGGGGUGCUCGAGUGGCGAACGGGUGAGUAACACGUGAGUAACCUGCCCUUGACUUUGGGAUAACUUCAGGAAACUGGGGCUAAUACCGGAUAGGAGCUCCUGCUGCAUGGUGGGGGUUGGAAAGUUUCGGCGGUAGGGGAUGGACUCGCGGCUUAUCAGCUUGUUGGUGGGGUAGUGGCUUACCAAGGCUUUGACGGGUAGCCGGCCUGAGAGGGUGACCGGGCACAUUGGGACUGAGAUACGGCCCAGACUCCUACGGGAGGCAGCAGUGGGGAAUAUUGCACAAUGGGCGGAAGCCUGAUGCAGCAACGCCGCGUGCGGGAUGACGGCCUUCGGGUUGUAAACCGCUUUCGCCUGUGACGAAGCGUGAGUGACGGUAAUGGGUAAAGAAGCACCGGCUAACUACGUG